Molecule: ribosomal RNA, 248 nt
Filed under: uncultured Ruminiclostridium sp.
Lineage: Bacteria; Bacillati; Bacillota; Clostridia; Eubacteriales; Oscillospiraceae
Description: partial 16S ribosomal RNA
Rfam family: Bacterial small subunit ribosomal RNA
Source: RNAcentral
UACGUAGGGGGCAAGCGUUAUCCGGAUUUACUGGGUGUAAAGGGUGCGUAGGCGGCUAGGCAAGUCAGAAGUGAAAUCCAUGGGCUUAACCCAUGAACUGCUUUUGAAACUGCGUAGCUUGAGUGAAGUAGAGGUAGGCGGAAUUCCCGGUGUAGCGGUGAAAUGCGUAGAGAUCGGGAGGAACACCAGUGGCGAAGGCGGCCUACUGGGCUUUAACUGACGCUGAGGCACGAAAGCGUGGGUAGCAA